RNAcentral lists this long non-coding RNA (1192 nucleotides) under Homo sapiens (human). Its description in RNAcentral is "non-protein coding lnc-NUPR2-8:4". Lineage: Eukaryota; Metazoa; Chordata; Mammalia; Primates; Hominidae. The record is from RNAcentral.
CUUAAAAGAAGAAGAAAAGGGAAGAAAUGCUGAUAUAUUGCCUAAAAAAGACAGUGAACAGUUAAAAAGAAAAGAAAAGGAAUGUGGGAAAGAAGUUGAAACAACAACUCAAACAGACUCUGAAAUCACUGGUCACAGAAUUGAGGACAUUAGGAAAGAAUUUGGAUCAGGUUGUGCAGAAGCGAAGCGAUACCCACAAGCAACUUUCUGAAGAGCAGAAUGCCAGAAUAUUACAAGAUGAGAUUCUGACCAGUAAGCAAAAGGAGGUCGAAGGGGCUCAAAAGAAAAUGAAUUCUGAGAUUUCUCAAAGCCAUGAGAAAGAAGAAGACCUGUUGCAUAAAAAUAGUAUGUUGCAGGAAGAAAUUGCCAUGCUAAGACUGGAACUAGACACAAUAAAACAUCAGAACCAGCUGAAAGAAAAGAAAUAUUUGAAGGAUGUUGAAAGUGUGAAAUAAAAGAAUGACAACCUUCAAAAUAUGAUAAAACUGAAUGAGGAAACAUCAACAAAAAUAGUAUUUCAGUACAGUGGACAGCUUAGCAUUUUGACAGCUAAGAAUAAAACUCAGUUCUCAACUUGAGAAUGUAAAACACAACAUGGAAAGACUGGAAAUGGAAAUUCAGUCAUAUCGAUGCAGGCUGGCUGCUGCCGUACAUGAUUGUGAUCAAAGUCAGACAGCAUAAGAAAACCUAGAACUUGCUUUCCAGAGAACAGGACAUGAAUGGGUUCAUUUACAGGAGAAAAUGAAUUCUGAUAUGUCUAACCUAAAAGAUAACAGAUUGUUUCUGAAAAAACUCUCUAAUGCUGACAGUAAAAUUAACAGCCUAAAAAUUAAGUUUCAUCAUGCAAGAGAAACACUCAGAGAAAAGACGUCAGUUUUAGAAUGUUUCCAAAGAGACCUUGGCCAAACACAGUGUCAAAAGAAAGAAAUUGAACGAAUGUAUAAAAAUGAACAAAGCAAAGUAAAUAAAUACGCUGAAGAAGCAGGAAUCUAUAGAGGACAGAUGUGCUCAACUACAAAGUGAAAAUAGGUUGCUUCAACAGCAACUGGAUGAUGCCCACAAGAAAGCUGACAAUCAAGAAAAGACAAUCAGUACUAUCCAAGACCAAAUCCAUGCCGUUGUAAAAAAAUCUAGCUGGGAGUGAAAUGCAGAGUCUUCUGCUAGAAGAGAAAAACAAAGACUUAAUCAAUGU